GAUUUCUGGCUUGAAACAUUUUGCCGGCCACGGUUUCGUGUGUUAGUGCUUGAUGUUCUGGCCAUCCUUCCAAUUGCUAUUCACCUUUCUUCAUUGAUUGGUGAGUGGUAUUGGAUCUUUUACUUUGAAAAAAUUAGAGUGUUUCAAGCAGGCUUUAUGCUAUGAAUACAUUAGCAUGGAAUAAUAAUUUAGGACUUCGGUUCUAUUUUGUUGGUUUCUAGGACUGAAGUAAUGAUUGAUAGGGAUAGUUGGGGGUGCUAGUAUUCAGCGGCCAGAGGUGAAAUUCUCGGAUUCGCUGAAGACUAACUUAUGCGAAAGCAUU
RNAcentral lists this ribosomal RNA (322 nucleotides) under uncultured Sandonidae. RNAcentral's name for it is "SSU rRNA". The stretch from base 112 to 322 matches the Rfam family "Eukaryotic small subunit ribosomal RNA", at positions 744 to 955 of the family's 1831-position model. The record is from RNAcentral. Lineage: Eukaryota; Cercozoa; Glissomonadida; Viridiraptoridae.